Long non-coding RNA from Vicia villosa (hairy vetch), 3028 nucleotides. RefSeq lists it as uncharacterized. Lineage: Eukaryota; Viridiplantae; Streptophyta; Magnoliopsida; Fabales; Fabaceae. The record is from RefSeq and is a predicted model, not a curated record. The transcript has 7 exons.
GUUAGAUGUUCUGGAAAGGACCAGAAUGCCCCUUUGGUUAUAUGGCUUGCCACGUGGAUGUGUUCUUUGCAAUUCUUUGAAUACCUACUCUUUCUAUUCUAUGCUACAGCAAACGACUUCCACCAUCUCAUUUCUCUUUUCUAUCUCUCUCUACAUCUUUCUUAUCUCUCUCUUCUCUUUCUUCAUCUCUCUUUCUACAACAAACCCUAAUUCCCUUAAUCACAAAAUUUGCCUCAUUUUUCUCUCCUCAUCCAUCCUAUCGUUCUGCUUCUUCUUCAAACUGUUUUCGACAAUUUUGAUGCGAUGGUUUCUACUUUCGGACAAAGCGGACUUCGACGGUAUUUGUUCUUCGUCGUCGACCUUUGUUAUUACUCACAAAUAUUUGAUUUUACAUAACAGAUCUUCUUCUUAGAUUUGGUGAUUUAGUGAUUUAGAUUUAGAUUUAGUUUUUUUUUUGUUAUUUCAGGUUUAAUGGUGUUGGCUCAAGCAAAAAAAGGGGGAGAUUUGCGGCAGUUUGUGGUUUUACAUCGACGUGCGGUUUUGCGGUGGUAGAUCUGUCGUGGCGGCAACGCAUUUCCGGUGGAGAUUUUGAUAUUUAUCUGACCCUUCCAUGGGCUUAAGGUUUCAGGAGAUCUCAGUUGCAAGGUCUUUUCCAAUAUGGAAUUUUUUGUGGUGAUUAUGCGGAUUGGUUAGCAGAAUUUUGUGGGAAGUUGAUGGCAAUUUGGUUUCACUCAUGCAGGUUUGAUUAAUGAUUUGAAGAAAAACGGAGUGUUCGAAAUUGAAGGAAACAAAGGGAGAGGGAGGUAAAAGGGAGCUGAGUCUGAACAGUGUCUGAACUGGCUCGAUUUCUACGGGAACCAGUUUGUUAUUCGUUUCAGUUGAGCUUUAUGCAGGGCUGCAAACGAGUUGCAACACCAGCUUUAUGGUGGGUACGGAGCAGAGACUUCGUCAUGAGAACGGUCGAUGAUAUGGUGAACUUAUCACCGUUAGUUUGGAGCUGGUAAGUAUGUCGGGUACAUUAUGUGUGUUGAUAUGUAUGUACGAAUGGUUGAAAACAUACAGCACAACAAGCCUCUCGGAUUAAGUUUCUUAGAUACAUCAUAUUGCUGUUGUUAAUUGUUAUUGCUACUAUCUAGGACACAAAAUCAUGCGCUUAUGCCAAUGUUUAAUAUGCUUCACUUCAGUUACUAAAUUCAUGUGUUUGAGUUUCAUAUUUGAAAGGGCAGAGUUUCCCCUUUUCUUCUCUGGUGCAUCACCUUUGGCUGGUACUAGAUAGGUGUAUGAGCUUUUAUUGGUUUCACUGUUUUAUACAAUGUUCUAUUCACUCUUGCACUUAUGUACCAUAAUGAUAGUUUGCUUAGUAUUAUACACAUUGAACUAAAGAUGUGAGUUUUAGCUGUGAGGCAAAGAUGAGUGCAACGAUGAUGGCAUUGGAUAAGGCAAAGAUGAAGAGAGGACUCUAGAGGAAGUCUGCCGAGAUACUGAGAGCGAAAAGGAAUGUUCUUUAUCGUAUUGUCUUUUAUGUCAUGUCAAACUAAGUUGAAAGCAUUCUACAAUUUAUGUCUUUGUAUUUCCCUAACACAUUUUAUUUUGUAUAGAUGUUAUCGGUAUCGUUGACACCGUGCUUUACACUCAGCAAAAGCUCAACAGGGAAGAAGCCACAGGUUAACUUGCUUUUGAGAGAUUAUGAUUUAAAAAAGCAACAGCGAAAAAGGCGUGUCGUUAUCAAAUAUUUCCUGUAAAAUGUUGUUGUUGAGCCUGUUUUUGUAUGCUGAUGUGAAAUUUUGGACACAUGCAGUGUCUAAAUAUUCCUUAAUUGAUGUGCUUAAACUGUUUCAAUUCUUUUUACAGUGGAUGCCCCGAGGAAUGCAGGGAAGCUAUAGCGUCUCUGAUUGUUGCUGCUGCUAGAUUUUCCAAUCUACCAGAGUUACGCGACCUUCAACAAAUAUUUCAAAAGAGAUAUGGAGUAUGUGAAUCAGGAGGUCACUAUUUGGAUAUUGAAGCAUGUUGGUGAUUUGAAUGUCGCUGCUGGAUUUGCAGAUGAAGCAAGACGUAUGGAUCUUGCUGAUUGUUAUGUUAAUAGUGAAUGUGUUAAGCGGAUGCUGCAGGCCAAUCGGGUUUUUGUUUUUACUUGCACUAUAUUUAUAUAUCAGAUAAUAGGCAUAGUGAUUUAAGAGUUUUUUCCCGCUUCUCUGACUGUUGUAUUUAUAUAUUCCCUUGCUGUUAAGGUGGUGUUGGCAAAAAAAGUUGUUGUGUUGUUCUCAACUUCCUCACCUCACCUGAUUACUGGACGCAGAAAAUGUAGAAAUACCAACAGGACCCACAGGAGUAACACUGGAAGGUUGAGAAUCAGGUACUAGAACAGUAGGAAGAGUUUUUUUUUCUUCAUAAAUAACUCUUGGAUUAAAAGAGAGUACUAGGGGUACUCAUCCCUUACAAGAGAAACAGGUAAAACCUGAACUGCAAUAACAGAAAAUCAUCUACAUAAAAGAGGGUUUUUAAACCACUCAUAGAAAUUACAAUUAAUUCUAUCCUUUGCUACAAUUGCAAGCCACCACCACGUAUACCAAAGAAUCGAGUAGAAAACUUCGUCACCGUCAAAUACCGCAUUAUUGAAAAUCAUGUCGUUCCUCGACUUCCAAAUACACCACCAAAUAGUCAACCAAAUUGCCGACGCCGUUUUAGUUGGAAGUCUGGCCGACAGCAAGUUCACAUUCGACAGCAAUUGAGAGCAACAAUCAGCAGCAGAUAUGUUAUCUAGAUCCAGCCAAAGAGAUAUGUUUCGCCACAGACUAUAUUGAUGAAAUGGAAAUUGGCCGGAAAAGCAGCACAAUAUUGAUGAAAUGGUGGCCUAGGUAUACCACUCAUCUGUGAAGGAAAACUCUGUGCUUGGAAAUGGAAUAGCUGGAUUGGAGGGUAUUCUUACAUGUUUUACUUUAGUAUGCUUUACUUUUCAAAGAGAAAUCAAUCAUUCGUUUUAGUUUUUGCUUACCACUUCAUGUUGAUGAAUGAUGUCUUAUGUAUUGAG